This is a long non-coding RNA of Lontra canadensis (Northern American river otter), 1177 nucleotides long. RefSeq lists it as uncharacterized. The record is from RefSeq and is a predicted model, not a curated record. Lineage: Eukaryota; Metazoa; Chordata; Mammalia; Carnivora; Mustelidae. The transcript is spliced from 3 exons.
UGACCAAGAGCAGCCUAGAACCGAAGUCCUGCUAGUCGCCUCCGUCUGGGUACCAGCCCCCUAUUACUCUGCAGGCGUGUGAAGGAAGAAGGAAACUAGCCCCGGACCGCGAGGUUUGUAGGUCUGUUGGCCCAUAGGUCGCCUCAAACGUCGUGCCGAGGGAAGGAGCAAACUGCCUUGGGACUGUGCAGGUCCGUGUGAAGUUCUCCAAAGCCAGCUAUCUGUUUUUCUGACCUUCUGCCAGACUGUCCAUCAGUCUCCGCGGAAGGAGUGCUGACAACAGAAGACAAGGGAAGAAGAAAUUUACCUGACUUUGGUAGAGGUUGGUGGGAGAAACCUACCUGUGAAUCUUUGGGGAAGGGGUGGCGGUGGAGGAAACUACCCGAGCCUUUGCCUCUCCAUGUCACCCUCCUGGCUAUCAUAGCACAGCCCCAAACCCUGCCCUUUUCUGUAGGGCCUGGAAGAGAAAUGGUGGGUCGUGGGGGUAGAUAGAGGAUGACAAAAAGGAACAAAGAACUAGUUUCCUAAUAAUCAACCUCUCUCAACCGGAACUCAAAUUCCACUUUGUUUGUAUAGUGAGGCACAAACUCAGACACAACACAACGCCUUAAUGCCAUUUUGCACCCAUAGAUUCAUCACAGGAGAGCUACAGGAGCCCAGGAGAGGCUGAAGAGGACUGCUGCUCCACCAUUACUCACCCUGGCCCUCAGAAUCCUCCUGAAUCAGGUGGAACAAGGCCCUCUCCUGUCCUGUCCAAAGGCUGACACGGACUUGAGCAUGGGCAGGGCUCGGGAAGUGGGUUGGAUGGCAGCAGGACUGAUGAUUGGGGCUGGUGCCUGCUACUGUGUUUACAAACUAACCAUAGGAAGAGAUGACAGUGACAAGUUGGAGGAGGAGGAAGAGGAAUGGGAUGAUGACCAGGAGCUGGAUGAGGAGGAACCUGAGCUUUGGUUUGAUUUCACAACUAUGGCUCGGCCCUGGAGUGAGAAUGGGGAUUGGACCGAACCGGGGGCCCCUGGUGGCACCGAGGACAGGCCCUCAGGUGGGGGCAAGGCCAGCCGAACACACCCAGUAAAACAGCGCCCAUUCCCUUAUGAACAUAAAAAUACUUGGAGCACUCAAAGCUUUAGAAAUUUCAGGUGUGUACUUGACCUCUCUAAGUGUCCUUUCAUUCAGG